RNAcentral lists this ribosomal RNA (486 nucleotides) under uncultured bacterium. Its description in RNAcentral is "partial 16S ribosomal RNA". It matches the Rfam family "Bacterial small subunit ribosomal RNA", at positions 30 to 507 of the family's 1533-position model. The record is from RNAcentral.
AUUGAACGCUGGCGGCAUGCCUUACACAUGCAAGUCGAACGGCAGCACGGGUGCUUGCACCUGGUGGCGAGUGGCGAACGGGUGAGUAAUACAUCGGAACAUGUCCUGUAGUGGGGGAUAGCCCGGCGAAAGCCGGAUUAAUACCGCAUACGAUCUACGGAUGAAAGCGGGGGACCUUCGGGCCUCGCGCUAUAGGGUUGGCCGAUGGCUGAUUACCUAGUUGGUGGGGUAAAGGCCUACCAAGGCGACGAUCAGUAGCUGGUCUGAGAGGACGACCAGCCACACUGGGACUGAGACACAGCCCAGACUCCUACGGGAGGGAGAAGUGGGAAAUUUUGGACAAUGGGCGAAAGCCUGAUCCAGCAAUGCCGCGUGUGUGAAGAAGGCCUUCGGGUUUUGAAGCACAUUUGUCCGGAAAAAAAUCCUUGGCCCUAAUACGGUCGGGGGAUGACGGUACCGGAAGAAUAAGCACCGGCUAACUACGUG